UGGGAAGUAGCUCAGUUGCAUAGUGCCUACCUAGAAUGCAGGAGGCCCUGGGUUCCAGCCCCAGUACCUCAA
Molecule: transfer RNA, 72 nt
Filed under: Marmota monax (woodchuck)
Lineage: Eukaryota; Metazoa; Chordata; Mammalia; Rodentia; Sciuridae
Rfam family: tRNA
About the family: Transfer RNA (tRNA) molecules are approximately 80 nucleotides in length. Their secondary structure includes four short double-helical elements and three loops (D, anti-codon, and T loops).
Source: Rfam by way of RNAcentral